CUAUGGUCACACCAUGCAACACACCUGAGCUCAUCUGAUGUCUGAAGGUAAAGCAGAGUUGGCCACAGAUAGUACUUGGAUGGGAGACUGGCUAGACAUACCAGGGUCCUAACAGC
Calidris pygmaea (Spoon-billed sandpiper) is the source of this 116-nucleotide ribosomal RNA. Lineage: Eukaryota; Metazoa; Chordata; Aves; Charadriiformes; Scolopacidae. The record is from Ensembl.